UCCGGUUUGGCACCGGCAGUCCCCCCAGAGUCCCCGGCAGGCUUGUUAAAGGCCUCCGCUGGCAACUGGGAGCAGGGGUAAACCACAUGCUCCACCGCUUGUGCGGGCCCCCGUCAAUUCCUUUGAGUUUCAGCCUUGCGGCCGUACUCCCCAGGCGGGGCACUUAAUGCGUUAGCGCCGGCACCCGGAGGGUCGCUCCCCCGGGCACCUAGUGCCCAUCGUUUACGGCGUGGACUAC
RNAcentral lists this unclassified non-coding RNA (238 nucleotides) under uncultured Gemmatimonadaceae bacterium. RNAcentral describes it as "contains 16S-23S intergenic spacer region". Lineage: Bacteria; Pseudomonadati; Gemmatimonadota; Gemmatimonadia; Gemmatimonadales; Gemmatimonadaceae. The record is from RNAcentral.